UACGUAGGGUGCAAGCGUUGUCCGGAAUUAUUGGGCGUAAAGAGCUCGUAGGCGGUCUGUCGCGUCUGCUGUGAAAACUCAGGGCUUAACCCUGAGCUUGCAGUGGGUACGGGCAGACUAGAGUGCGGUAGGGGAGACUGGAAUUCCUGGUGUAGCGGUGAAAUGCGCAGAUAUCAGGAGGAACACCGGUGGCGAAGGCGGUGGUCUGGGCCGGCACUGACGCUGAGGAGCGAAAGCGUGGGGAGCGAACAGG
Molecule: ribosomal RNA, 253 nt
Filed under: uncultured bacterium
Lineage: Bacteria
Description: partial 16S ribosomal RNA
Rfam family: Bacterial small subunit ribosomal RNA
Source: RNAcentral